This 1707-nucleotide unclassified non-coding RNA is filed under the name Hevea brasiliensis (rubber tree). Lineage: Eukaryota; Viridiplantae; Streptophyta; Magnoliopsida; Malpighiales; Euphorbiaceae. The record is from RNAcentral.
GUCACAAAUCUGACAUCCACAUUAAAUCAUCAAAUUCAAAAUAUAUUUACAAUGUCCAAAAAUAGAGAAUAUAUUUUUUUCCUUUAACCAAAACUAUUUAUUACAAUUAUGGAUCCACACACACAAACUGACCUAAUCAUACCAGAAUUACACAUUCAAUUACAGUUCAUCAUCAUUUCUCCCGGAGACAACAACCCAUUUUGAGGAAGUAACAUCAAAUCAAGAUCAUGAAAAAGGCCCCCAUAAAGAAUUGAAUUUAAGCCCAGGAAUUUCACUAAAUGCUAUAAUCCCAAUUUUCUUGAGAACCAAUCUGAAAGAUUAGCUAUUACAAAUCCUGCAAACACCUGAGUAGAGCCAAGAAUGUAAAUUGCUGAAUAAUGACGACCAUGAAUCACCAUAUCAGCCACCAUCGCAAGAGGGAUUGUGAGUGACAUACCCAAGGUGGCCACCAAUGGAGUUGUCCAUACAACGCAUAGUGCCCAAAAGUAGUCUGAGAGGACACUUCCAAUAAAGCCAUUUGCGAGAACAACUUCAUCCAUUUUAGCAGAGUGAGGAAUUGUAAACUUGGGUUCUAUUCCCAAGGCACUCAAUGGCCAAACUGAGAGAGAAUCAGAAAAUGAUGAUACAGUUCUCAGCCAAGGCAGCCUCAUACGUAAAUUUUCACUUUUAAAACUUCUCAGAACUUCAUUGACAAAUUGUUCCCAGCCAACAAUAUGGCCAGGUAGAGAAAAUUGAAUGGGAAGGGAAAAAAAAUAUGGUUAAUUAUAAUGCCAAAUUAAUUUAAAUACCAUAUAUUUUGCUAAAUCAGAGUGACCCAAAUCAAUAACUAACAGAAAAGAGUAUCAAAGUUCCAAAAAUAUUUAACUUCAUGCUCUAUAGCUAAUGACCAUGAUUCCAUCCAUUGAGACGUUACCCAAUCAACAGAACAUUGAACAAAUAAUCUCUCUUACCAAGCCACCAUAGAGCUACAAGUGUGAACAGUCCUAUGUAUCCAAACAACUUCUGCACAUCUAACCUUUCUCCUUCUUCACCAGCAAACUUUUUAAGGAGCACUGCAGCAAUAAUUGUAAAAUGAAACACAACACUCUCCAAGAAUAAUAUUAUGACAAAGACUACCUAUAAAAAGCAAGUAAUAACCAAUAGAUAAAAAGAACUUAAAAAGAGACAUUAUGAUCAACCUGUAAAUAGCCCAUAUGACACAGCUGAAAGAAGGCCAAAAAGAUCCCCAACAAGAGAGCGCUUCCCAUUGCUGAACACAAAGUAUCAACGGUCAAUGCCCAAAAAUGCAGUACAGAGAGCAAGCUGACCAAAUAAUAGCCGCUCAAACAAUAUGCAAGGUGAAACUUGAAAGAGGUAUUCUGCAUAACAGGUAACUAUAUAUAGAUGUGCAGGGAUGUUUUGUACUCAGUUUAUUAAACCGAAUAUUAACAGCUUUAGGUCAGAGCCAUAAUGCUCUACACAAUUUUCAGCACAAACAACGUAAAAAGUAGAGGACAGACCUAAACUAUCCCUUUGCCAAAUUACUCGUUAAUUAAAAAGUUUAUCAAAAUUAAAACCCUUUCCCAGGCAUUGGAGCAUUAGGUGAUAGGCCCCUUGCAAUAGCCCAUCAAAUGGAAAUGAUAAUGUCCUUCAUUUAAAUUAACACUAGUGAAAAAGUCAGAAUCCAAACACUAUCAUGAUGCAACCAACAAAGAUGAGUAGACUUAC